AACAGGAUUAGAUACCCUGGUAGUCCACGCUGUAAACGAUGUCGACUUGGAGGUUGUGCCCUUGAGGCGUGGCUUCCGGAGCUAACGCGUUAAGUCGACCGCCUGGGGAGUACGGCCGCAAGGUUAAAACUCAAAUGAAUUGACGGGGGCCCGCACAAGCGGUGGAGCAUGUGGUUUAAUUCGAUGCAACGCGAAGAACCUUACCUACUCUUGACAUCCAGAGAAUUUGCUAGAGAUAGCUUAGUGCCUUCAGGAACUCUGAGACAGGUGCUGCAUGGCUGUCGUCAGCUCGUGUUGUGAAAUGUUGGGUUAAGUCCCGCAACGAGCGCAACCCUUAUCCUUUGUUGCCAGCACGUAAUGGUGGGAACUCAAAGGAGACUGCCGGUGAUAAACCGGAGGAAGGUGGGGAUGACGUCAAGUCAUCAUGGCCCUUACGAGUAGGGCUACACACGUGCUACAAUGGCAUAUACAAAGAGAAGCGAACUCGCGAGAGCAAGCGGACCUCAUAAAGUAUGUCGUAGUCCGGAUUGGAGUCUGCAACUCGACUCCAUGAAGUCGGAAUCGCUAGUAAUCGUAGAUCAGAAUGCUACGGUGAAUACGUUCCCGGGCCUUGUACACACCGCCCGUCACACCAUGGGAGUGGGUUGCAAAAGAAGUAGGUAGCUUAACCUUCGGGAGGGCGCUUACCACUUUGUGAUUCAUGACUGGGGUGAAGUCGUAACAAGGUAACC
RNAcentral lists this ribosomal RNA (731 nucleotides) under uncultured bacterium. Its description in RNAcentral is "bacterial SSU rRNA". It matches the Rfam family "Bacterial small subunit ribosomal RNA", at positions 771 to 1501 of the family's 1533-position model. The record is from RNAcentral.